Molecule: ribosomal RNA, 253 nt
Filed under: uncultured bacterium
Lineage: Bacteria
Description: partial 16S ribosomal RNA
Rfam family: Bacterial small subunit ribosomal RNA
Source: RNAcentral
UACGUAGGUGGCAAGCGUUGUCCGGAUUUACUGGGCGUAAAGAGCUCGUAGGCGGUCUGUCGCGUCGGCUGUGAAAUCCCGAGGCUCAACCUCGGGUCUGCAGUCGAUACGGGCAAACUGGAGUGUUGCAGGGGAGACUGGAAUUCCUGGUGUAGCGGUGAAAUGCGCAGAUAUCAGGAGGAACACCAAUGGCGAGGGCAGCACUCUGGGACGGUACUGACGCUGAGACGCGAAAGCGUGGGGAGCGAACAGG